GAUGAACGCUGGCGGCGUGCCUAAUACAUGCAAGUCGAGCGAACGGACGAGAAGCUUGCUUCUCUGAUGUUAGCGGCGGACGGGUGAGUAACACGUGGAUAACCUACCUAUAAGACUGGGAUAACUUCGGGAAACCGGAGCUAAUACCGGAUAAUAUUUUGAACCGCAUGGUUCAAAAGUGAAAGACGGUCUUGCUGUCACUUAUAGCUGGAUCCGCGCUGCAUUAGCUAGUUGGUAAGGUAACGGCUUACCAAGGCAACGAUGCAUAGCCGACCUGAGAGGGUGAUCGGCCACACUGGAAGUGAGACACGGUCCAGACGCCUACGGGAGGCAGCAGUAGGGAAUCUUCCGCAAUGGGCGAAAGCCUGACGGAGCAACGCCGCGUGAGUGAUGAAGGUCUUCGGAUCGUAAAACUCUGUUAUUAGGGAAGAACAUAUGUGUAAGUAACUGUGCACAGCUUGACGGUACCUAAUCAGAAAGCCACGGCUAACUACGUG
This 497-nucleotide ribosomal RNA is filed under the name uncultured bacterium. Its description in RNAcentral is "partial 16S ribosomal RNA". It matches the Rfam family "Bacterial small subunit ribosomal RNA", at positions 28 to 507 of the family's 1533-position model. The record is from RNAcentral.